RNAcentral lists this ribosomal RNA (920 nucleotides) under Bacillus cereus. RNAcentral describes it as "bacterial SSU rRNA". It matches the Rfam family "Bacterial small subunit ribosomal RNA", at positions 56 to 990 of the family's 1533-position model. Lineage: Bacteria; Bacillati; Bacillota; Bacilli; Caryophanales; Bacillaceae. The record is from RNAcentral.
UCUACGUCGAGCGAUGGAUUAAAAGCUUGCUCUUAUGAAGUUAGCGGGGGACGGGUGAGUAACACGUGGGUAACCUGCCCAUAAAACUGGGAUAACUCCGGGAAACCGGGGCUAAUACCGGAUAACAUUUUGAACCGCAUGGGUCGAAAUUGAAAGGCGGCUUCGGCUGUCACUUAUGGAUGGACCCGCGUCGCAUUAGCUAGUUGGUGAGGUAACGGCUCACCAAGGCAACGAUGCGUAGCCGACCUGAAGGGUGAUCGGCCACACUGGGACUGAACACGGCCCAGACUCCUACGGGAGGCAGCAUAGGGAAUCUUCCGCAAUGGACGAAAGUCUGACGGACAACGCCGCGUGAGUGAUGAAGGCUUUCGGGUCUUAAAACUCUGUUGUUAGGGAAUAACAAGUGCUAUUGAAUAAGCUGGCACCUUGACGGUACCUAACCAAAAGCCACGGCUAACUACGUGCCAGCAGCCGCGGUAAUACUAGGUGGCAAGCGUUAUCCGGAAUUAUUGGGCGUAAAGCGCGCGCAGGUGGUUUCUUAAGUCUGAUGUGAAAGCCCACGGUCACCGUGGAGGGCAUUGAAACUGGGAGACUUGAGUGCAGAAGAGGAAGUGGAAUUCCAUGUGUAGCGGUGAAAUGCGUAGAGAUAUGGAGGAACACCAGUGGCAAGCGACUUUCUGGUCUGUAACUGACACUGAGGCGCGAAAGCGUGGGGACAAACAGGAUUAAUACCCUGGAUCCACGCCGUAAACAUGAGUGCUAAGUGUUAGAGGGUUUCCGCCCUUUAGUGCUGAAUUAACCAUUAAGCACUCCGCCGGGGAGUACGCCGCAAGGCUGAAACUCAGGAAGCGGGGGCCCCGCACAUGCGGUGUAGCUGUGGUUAUUCGAAGCAACAAACCUUUACCCAGUCUUCAUCCUCA